RNAcentral lists this transfer RNA (85 nucleotides) under Vibrio alginolyticus. RNAcentral's name for it is "tRNA-Leu". It matches the Rfam family "tRNA". Rfam says of the family: Transfer RNA (tRNA) molecules are approximately 80 nucleotides in length. Their secondary structure includes four short double-helical elements and three loops (D, anti-codon, and T loops). RNAcentral also lists the same sequence under 3 other names. Lineage: Bacteria; Pseudomonadati; Pseudomonadota; Gammaproteobacteria; Vibrionales; Vibrionaceae. The record is from RNAcentral.
GCGUGGUUGGUGGAAUUGGUAUACACAUCGCACUUAAAAUGCGACGGCGAAAGCUACACGAGUUCAAAUCUCGUACCACGCACCA